AUGCCCACGUCCUCGCAUCCAUCGCCUGCCCUUCCCAAGGCAUGGAGGAUACGUGGCAGAGCGAGAGGGGGCGUGAGGAUAGGCAGGAUGACCAUUUUCCACCUCGUGAUCGUGGGGUGCAGCGCCAUGCAGGCUGUGACCCGAGUCCACUUAGUAAGCCCCUGCAUAUUCCUUCUUUUAAAAAAAGGGAGGCACGGACCGCCUCUUUACUAUCGACUGCGAGAUGACGCAAGCACGCUGAGGCCAUCCCACGCACGACCCCCACGUCACGCACUCGACGCGGAUUGUGGGGAAGCGCAACUGGCAAGAAGAUCAUGGAAGAUUAAGCCUCUACCACGCGUGCCCGCGCACUGCGUUGGGCCUGGCCCAACUACCCCUCGCGCGCACGUGUGGCCCAGGCCCGGGGCUCCCAUCGGUGUACAAAAGUACGGAAUCUUUUGUACCCCUUACUUGUGCACGAGCAAUUGUAGCCACGCCUAUGGCCGGGCCCGGUAG
Molecule: ribosomal RNA, 495 nt
Filed under: Triticum aestivum (bread wheat)
Lineage: Eukaryota; Viridiplantae; Streptophyta; Magnoliopsida; Poales; Poaceae
Description: partial small subunit ribosomal RNA
Source: RNAcentral